RNAcentral lists this ribosomal RNA (580 nucleotides) under Euglena terricola. Its description in RNAcentral is "bacterial SSU rRNA". It matches the Rfam family "Eukaryotic small subunit ribosomal RNA", at positions 1308 to 1799 of the family's 1831-position model. Lineage: Eukaryota; Euglenozoa; Euglenophyceae; Euglenales; Euglenaceae. The record is from RNAcentral.
GAGGAAACUGGUUGAUUCCGAUAACGAGUGAGAUCUCUGCCUCCCAGUAGCCCCUGGCUCGCAUUUGGUAGGGCUAGGUCCCGGGAGACCAGCCCGGUGUCGACCGGUGCAACAACACUGGCCAGUGCCGGGUUCCCGGGCCUCCCGAGAGCCCAGGGCCCUAUAGCUUCUCUGAGGUGCUGUGUUCGCUUCCAAGAGCAUGCAUGCUAGAGCCAACAGCAGGUCUGUGAUGCCCCCAGAUGUUCUGGGCCGCACGCGCACUACAUUGGAAUGGUGAAGGGGUUAGCAACUUGGCUAUCUGCCGAGACCUGGCCAGCAAUGGCUGGGAAAUCCUGGGAGCCGAUGGCCGUACUGGGGAUAGACGAUUGCAACUGUGUGCCUUGAACGUGGAAUGCCUAGUAGGCGUUGGUCAUCAGCCAACACCGAUUGUGUCCCUGCCAUUUGUACACACCGCCCGUCGUUGCUACCGAUGGUGAGAGGAUAGAGACAUCAGGAGGUGUGACCGAUGUAUUAUGCGUGCACGAUCACGCCGAAAUUGGCCAAUGUUCUCUGACUAGAGGAAGCAAAAGUGGUGGCNCNG